UACAGAGGAUGCAAGCGUUAUCCGGAAUGAUUGGGCGUAAAGCGUCUGUAGGUGGCUUUUUAAGUCCGCCGUCAAAUCCCAGGGCUCAACUCUGGACAGGCGGUGGAAACUACCAAGCUGGAGUACGGUAGGGGCAGAGGGAAUUUCCGGUGGAGCGGUGAAAUGCGUAGAGAUCGGAAAGAACACCAACGGCGAAGGCAGCUCGCUGGGACGGUACUGACGCUGAGGCGCGAAAGCGUGGGGAGCAAACAGG
Molecule: ribosomal RNA, 253 nt
Filed under: uncultured bacterium
Lineage: Bacteria
Description: partial 16S ribosomal RNA
Rfam family: Bacterial small subunit ribosomal RNA
Source: RNAcentral